UCACCAUUUGCGCAAGUUUUUAUUUAUAUAGCUACGCACUAGCCCGUGAUAAUACCAGUAUGAAUGAUACACCAACAA
RNAcentral lists this antisense RNA (78 nucleotides) under Listeria ivanovii. RNAcentral's name for it is "Listeria snRNA rli45". It matches the Rfam family "Listeria snRNA rli45". The record is from RNAcentral. Lineage: Bacteria; Bacillati; Bacillota; Bacilli; Caryophanales; Listeriaceae.